GAUGAACGCUGGCGGCGUGCCUAAUACAUGCAAGUCAAGCGAACAGACGAGGAGCUUGCUCCUCUGACGUUAGCGGCGGACGGGUGAGUAACACGUGGAUAACCUACCUAUAAGACUGGGAUAACUUCGGGAAACCGGAGCUAAUACCGGAUAAUAUAUUGAACCGCAUGGUUCAAUAGUGAAAGACGGUUUUGCUGUCACUUAUAGAUGGAUCCGCGCCGCAUUAGCUCGUUGGUAAGGUAACGGCUUACCAAGGCAACGAUGCGUAGCCGACCUGAGAGGGUGAUCGGCCACACUGGAACUGAGACACGGUCCAGACUCCUACGGGAGGCAGCAGUAGGGAAUCUUCCGCAAUGGGCGAAAGCCUGACGGAGCAACGCCGCGUGAGUGAUGAAGGUCUUCGGAUCGUAAAACUCUGUUAUUAGGGAAGAACAAAUGUGUAAGUAACUAUGCACGUCUUGACGGUACCUAAUCAGAAAGCCACGGCUAACUACGUG
This 497-nucleotide ribosomal RNA is filed under the name uncultured bacterium. Its description in RNAcentral is "partial 16S ribosomal RNA". It matches the Rfam family "Bacterial small subunit ribosomal RNA", at positions 28 to 507 of the family's 1533-position model. The record is from RNAcentral.